This is a long non-coding RNA of Peromyscus maniculatus bairdii (prairie deer mouse), 752 nucleotides long. RefSeq lists it as uncharacterized. The record is from RefSeq and is a predicted model, not a curated record. Lineage: Eukaryota; Metazoa; Chordata; Mammalia; Rodentia; Cricetidae.
GCAGCUUUUCUUGGGACACCCAGCGGCUUUUGCAAGAUGCUGGUUUUGGGGAGCCAUCCUGGUAAGACCCGGAAGCUGCGGUUUUCAUCUCAUCCUAGCUGUCAAGACAGCUGGGUAAAUUAUCCUUAAAUAAAAUGGUUCCUUAGAAAACUGACCAAGUGGUUGGUGAACACCUUUAAUCCCGGCACUGGGGGAGUGGGGGACAGAGGCGGCGACAGACACAUCACUGUGAGUUCCAGGACAGCCAGGACUGUACAAAGAGAAACCCUGUCUCGAAGAAAAAUGGAACAGCAAAUGUCAUUUAAAUAAAACUUUCUAUGUGAAAUCUUGACCAAAGUUACCUGUUAUAUUGGUCACAAGAACUUUUUCUCCUGAACUGGACCUGAAAUCCUAUCCUGACCUGCAAGGAAGGUGCUGCACACAGUAAGACUAUAAACAUGGGUAGCAACAGCCAAGGCUGCCUCUACUCAGACCCAUUUUCUUCCAGGCCAUCAUGGCUUUGAGGGAGCAGAGAGGAAGAAGUGAACUAUGGCUGAGGAAAUCAAUCAGACUCUGUCUCCCUAGCAUUCUGCCUCAGCCACUGUUCUACAAUGCUUUUCCAUUAGGCUUUUUAUUGCCUUCAAGAGUGUCUUGCCCUCCUGUGACAAAAACACCUGUAUUCCCAGAACUUGGGAGUCACGUGAUUUGAAGUAGCCUGGGCUAUGUAUGACCCUGUGUCAGAUGAAUAAAAAGCUCACUUUGUAUUUUGAAAA